UUUGAAGCGCGGAUUGGAUGUCAGCUUAUUCCGCUGAGGUGUUCGCUGCGGACGUCCUGAGGUUUCAGAAGUAGUAAGCCGACUGUUAAGAGCCCUACUCAGCACCCGCCAGCGCGUACCCCUCACGGUGCUGGGGGCUGCUAGUCAGGGAGCGAAAUCCAUGCAGGCCAGACAGAAGGAAGGACAUUUACAGCAACAGAAACGUGCAUGCCCCAGAACUACCGAAGACUUGAUCUGGCGGGGAUGACGGAGGCAUUGUGUUGAUCAAUGGGUGUGGUCGCUUGUUUGAAAUGUGACUUCCCAGGUCAAAGACUGUCAAUGUAGUGCUUAUUAAAAUUUCUAUUUGAGCUUAAUUCCGUACCCUCCAGGUUAAGUUUAUUGUAUGUUGGAAACGCUGUCAAUACUCAUUCAGUGAAGUUGACUGGGCACUUUUGAAUGUAGUGGUAUUCAAAACCUUUGACCACAUGGCCCGUCAGGAUGAUGAGAAGAGAAGGCAGGAACUUGAAGAGAAAAUCAGAAGAAAGGAAGAGGAAGAGGCCAAGACUGUGUCAGCUGCUGCAGCUGAGAAGGAGCCAGUCCCAGUUCCAGUCCAGGAAAUAGAGAUUGACUCCACCACAGAAUUGGAUGGGCAUCAGGAAGCAGAGAAAGUGCAGCCUCCA
Molecule: small RNA, 659 nt
Filed under: Pan troglodytes (chimpanzee)
Lineage: Eukaryota; Metazoa; Chordata; Mammalia; Primates; Hominidae
Description: processed transcript
Source: RNAcentral